GAGACUUGCCUGGUGUGGAAAUGCUCAAGGAGAACAUUGCUGCGUAUUUCAAUGUCCUGCAGGGUUUCCUUUUGGCCUGUCAUGGAAGCACGAUCGGUGCCGGUCCUACGCUUCACAAGUAUAUCACUAGUUCUGCAAAAGGCGUGGUGGAUGCCAGCUUCUCGUUGUUCAAGCUAGCUGUUUCUGCCUAUGUAUCGGCGACAACAAGAAGGCCUGGAAGAGCGAACACUGCAGGGCACUGAAGAUAAAGCUUACAGAAAGAAAUAAAGAUGGCCAUAUUCUCACAUACUCCUGGAUUUCAUUUACAUCAACUUCUCAAGAGAGGAGUACUCCUUUUUAGUAGUCUCAGUUUAAAGUAAAUUAAAUGAAAGGAGUACUCCUUUUCAGUUGUCUCGGUUUAAAGUGAAUGAAAGGAGUACUUGCUCCCUGUACUAGUUACUUCUACUACUUAUUUUUAGCUGUUUAGUACUACUCUGUAGAUCUGUGAUACUAGUCUAGUCGCUUGUAUAAUUUUGUUUAUUAGUGUAACCUGAACCAUGGAGUAGUACCCUGUUCGCAUAUGCGUGAUUAUGUGUGUUCUGUAGUCUCUAGCUCCAGUACAUGUGAAAUAUAUGUUGUGGUGUAAAUCAUUUUCAUUCUAUCUUAUAAACGUGUUUCUUCAAUAGCUAUUUCUGUUCAAUUCUUGUUGUCACUGAUGUUAGCAUUUAGUUUGUCUCAAGUUAAAAAAAUACUGAAAAUACAGUGUACAAAUCAGCCCAAAUAUGUGAGCCUCGGUUCUGAAAACUAAAGAGUUCAUAUAUUGGUAGAUAGACUGUGAUUUAGGAUAUGCUAAACAGAAAGCUUUAUAAGAUGGAACUCUCAAUAUCAUGACUUCACUUUGUCUUUAAUUUAAUAUGGUUAGAACUACCAUGGUUUUUUAAGUAGUUGGGGCAUUAAGAAACAGUAUGCUGGAUGUUUGGCCUUGCAUCCGUCCUUCCAUGAAUUCAUGCUUGUGCAUUGCUAGUUAUUGCUUUUUUUGCAGGUCUUCUUCUUCCUCGAUCUGGUGCAGCAACAACAAUUCAAGGUCAUGGUCAUGGAGCAGCAGCCAUAUAUUUUCUUCUUCUUAUUCUUCCCUGAGAUGACAUGAGAUGAGGCUCUGUUGGUCAGUCUUCAAUUCUUCAUGCUGCUGCUGCUACUGCUACAUGAGGACCCUCUUCAAUUCUGCAUCCGUUGCGGCCGCCGCAGCUUCCACCUCCAGAAGAGCACCUGCUCCUCGUGCGGUUACCCGGCCGCCCGCAUCCGCAAGUGUAAGCUCCCCUUCCUCCGUCCUAGAUCUCUAGGUCUGCUGCUGUCAUGCGCCAUGUUCUUGAUGUUGCGCGACCUCAUGUGGAUGCCACGAACGGCGCUGCUCCUGCGUGCAGAUUUGAUUCGCUGCAUUAUUAUGCGGUUGUUGUCUCGCCGUGGUUGUUCAAACUGAGAUGUACCCAGUUGAUUCAUCAUCUCGGGUCAUAAAUUUUUCUGCAUUCCCUGUUGCUGUAGCUUGUUGGAUGCAUAGUUUGAUCUCCCAAUGGGAAUUAUUAGUGAAUGGUGAUGUCUGGUCACGAGAAUGGUGAUGUAGUAGCUGGUAUGCUUGAUGCGUGUAUGUCCAUCUCUUUACUGUUUUGCUAGAACCAUAAAUCCUGAUGCGCAUGAUGAUCAUGGUCUGGUUUGUUAGACCUAUUCUGCUGGUGCUUAAAAUUUGACAUGCCUGGAUUCUAAAACUUGUUCUUACAGUUUUCAUUUCUAUGAUCAAUUUAGAGAGUUGGACAUGUCAAUAUAU
Molecule: long non-coding RNA, 1798 nt
Organism: Triticum aestivum (bread wheat)
Lineage: Eukaryota; Viridiplantae; Streptophyta; Magnoliopsida; Poales; Poaceae
Exons: 4
Source: RefSeq, a predicted model, not a curated record